RNAcentral lists this transfer RNA (70 nucleotides) under Camelus bactrianus (Bactrian camel). It matches the Rfam family "tRNA". Rfam says of the family: Transfer RNA (tRNA) molecules are approximately 80 nucleotides in length. Their secondary structure includes four short double-helical elements and three loops (D, anti-codon, and T loops). Lineage: Eukaryota; Metazoa; Chordata; Mammalia; Artiodactyla; Camelidae. RNAcentral also lists the same sequence under 2 other names. The record is from Rfam by way of RNAcentral.
GGAAAUAGCUCAGUGGUAGAGCGUAAGCUUAGCAUGCACACGGUCCUGGGUUCAUUCCCCUGUACUUCCA